CUCCAAAUUUAUUGAGCACUCACUGUAUACCAGGUGCUAUGUUCUAGGUACUAGAAAAGAAUGAUGGAAAAAAGUUUAUGUAGCUUCUACCCUCCUGUGUGGUACGUAGGCUGAUGGAAGAGUCAGACUUUAAACAAAAUGAGCAGGAGAGCAACUGAUUGCAUUUUUGGCAAGUGCUAGAAAGCAAAUGUGUGGUGUCAGAGAUGGAGUUAGUGCUAAAGUAUAAUUUAAACUGAGAUCUAAGUAUUUGCCAGGAGUUAGUCCAGUGAAGGAAGGACAAGGGUAGAGUAUUCCCAUCAGAGACAGCUACAGGGAAAAAGUCUUGUGGAAUUGAACUUGGCACAUCUUCAGGAAGGAGUAACAUGAGGGGUGGUCAGAGAGAUAAAGGAGCAAGGUCCUGCUCUGUCUUGAAGGUGCAGUAAGGACUUGGACUACAGUCAGAGGGAGUGCAUAAGAGCUUAAAACUUCCCAGAGUAAUGACCUGUUGAAAUUGGGGUUUUUUAUAGGUGACUGCUAUGUAGGGAACAAACCAAGUAACUGUUGAAGUGGUCCACUAGAGAGACAGUAGUAUCUUGGUCUUGGGUGGGUGGGUGGAGCAGUUAUAAAUGACAGAUCACCAAAAAAAGACGUAGAAUCACAGCAUGUGGCAGGAAGGAAUGGUGCCUUACGUGGGCUGCAGGCACGGCAGGUUACAAACUGAUCCAUGGGCCAGAAAGCAUGCAACAAAAACUGUUAAGUGGACUGUUAAGUCGUCUGGUACUCUUAAAAUAUUUACUGUCUGGCCUUUCAUGGAAUGUUUACAGAUCUCUAAACUAGAUGGUUGUGGGAUCUUAGAACCCCAAAUGACUUGGCUAAAGACUUUCCUUAGGGUAAACUUCAUAUUCUAGGACCAAGACCCCUGGACCUGGGGCCCAGUCAGCCCUGAGAGCCCUUGCCCGCUCAGGAAUGAAGAUAGGACGGAUUGAGGAUGUCACCCCCAUCCCCUCUGAUAGUACCCGCAGGAAGGGGGGUCGCCGUGGUCGCCGUCUGUGAACAGGAGUCCUCAGAUUACUUUCUGUUAAUAAAUUGUCUUUGUGUGAGCUA
This is a non-coding RNA of Manis javanica (Malayan pangolin), 1083 nucleotides long. The record is from RefSeq and is a predicted model, not a curated record. NCBI's taxonomy places the organism in Eukaryota, Metazoa, Chordata, Mammalia, Pholidota, Manidae.